GCCGAAGUGGCGAAAUGGCAGACGCGCUACGUUCAGGGCGUAGUGACCGCAGGGUCAUGGGAGUUCGAGUCUCCCCUUCGGCA
Molecule: transfer RNA, 83 nt
Filed under: Chloroflexota bacterium
Lineage: Bacteria; Bacillati; Chloroflexota
Also listed under: 2 other names
Description: tRNA-Leu
Rfam family: tRNA
About the family: Transfer RNA (tRNA) molecules are approximately 80 nucleotides in length. Their secondary structure includes four short double-helical elements and three loops (D, anti-codon, and T loops).
Source: RNAcentral